RNAcentral lists this ribosomal RNA (452 nucleotides) under uncultured bacterium. Its description in RNAcentral is "bacterial SSU rRNA". It matches the Rfam family "Bacterial small subunit ribosomal RNA", at positions 29 to 526 of the family's 1533-position model. The record is from RNAcentral.
AACGAACGCUGGCGGCAGGCUUAACACAUGCAAGUCGAACGACCUCUUCGGAGGGAGUGGCAGACGGGUGAGUAACGCGUGGAAACGUGCCCUUCUCUACGGAAUAGCCCUUAGAAAUGAGGUGUAAUACCGUAUAAGCCCUUCGGGGGAAAGAUUUAUCGGUGAAGGAUCGGUCCGCGUUAGAUUAGUUUGUUGGUGGGGUAAUGGCCUACCAAGACUACGAUCUAUAGCUGAUCUGAGAGGAUGAUCAGCCACACUGGGACUGAGACACGGCCCAGACUCCUACGGGAGGCAGCAGUGGGGAAUCUUGGACAAUGGGCGCAAGCCUGAUCCAGCCAUGCCGCGUGAAUGAUGAAGGCCUUAGGGUUGUAAAAUUCUUUCGCCAGGGAUGAUAAUGACAGUACCUGGAUAAGAAGCCCCGGCUAACUUCGUGCCAGCCGCCGCCGUAACAC